ACACCUACCAUGCCUGCUUUGGAGGGGGGGGGGCGUGUCCUAGCCCUGAGAGUUGUAAGGUUCUUAAUCUAAUGGAGUGGGACUACUGCCUGUUGCAUUACAAAUCUAAUAGCAUCAGCACGGUGCAAGGCAUUUUGUUUCAGGGCACCUACUCACUCGGAGAAGAGAAUAGGAAGGAUGUGACUACAUGUCCAGGUAGGAAGUCAAGGCAGGGAGAAAACCCACGCAAGGCAUCAGGAAACAGGCUGUGGGAGGUUUUGGAAUGGACUAGCAGAAACGGACACCUAAAUCGCUUUUAAGAUGGCAACUCUGUUUUGUUUCUGUUCUCGGGAUUUUUGUUUGAUGUGGUCUGUUUCUUUUAUUUGAUUCCCCCCAAAUGGACAUGGGGGGGGGACGACGACAAACGCUCUGAAAUAAUGGUAAUAAGUAAUUAAUUACAGGCUCUAAGCAAACUCAAAUGAUGACCUCUGGGACAAUCCUGUUACCUGCAGAGGGUGGGAUAAGUACCACAGAUGAUGGGCAAGGGAGAUCCAUCAAUUGCCAGGAUGAACAAUCCCGGCAUCAAAGAGCCUCUCUUUCGUGUAGCCCAUUUCAAACAUUCCAAGUGCUUCACCCUCCCUCCGACUCUGCAGUCCUUGCAACGGCCCUGCUUACUAGGGCAGUACAAUAUUCCCCCCACACUGACGAUGGAGGGGUUGAGGCAGGGAGAACAGCUGUUUGCCUAUGGCUGCCUACUGUGUUUGUGACUGAAGUGAGAUUUGAACCAGCCACAGCCCUGCUCGCAUUCUUAGCUGCUCCACUGCCUUCUUAAAGAACAGGUGGGCUAGCCAGGUGUGGGGAACCUUUGGUCCUCCAGAUGUUGCUGAACUCCAACUCCCAUCACCCCUGGCCUUUGGGCAUGCUGGUUGGGGCUGUUGGGAGUUGUAGUUCCGCAAACAUCUAGUGGGGCCAAAGGUUUCACACACCUGGGUCAGACAAAAGAAAGAGAUUAGGACAGCUAAGAUCAGCAUAAUUAACAACCUUACAUCUUAGUUCUUUUUCCUUAUGAGGAAGAUCACUGUUCUACCCAUUUUACAGAUAUGUUGGUAAGAUAAAGGCAUUCAUAGUCAAACAGGAAUUUUUCACACAAAGGUUUUGAGUCUCUCUCUUGCCUGGUUGUUGCUCACUACAGAAGAGAAGCAUCUGUAACCUGAGUUUUUGCAGUCCUAUUAGCAGCACUCCCUUCUACAUGUCUGUUUCCAGGUAAAUGGGCAUAGGAUUGUAGACUAUGUUUCACAUCUGAAAAUGCCCACUCCAAUCCCCUGGUCUGGCACCAUUCUAAACCACUCAUGACAAAAGCCCAUCACAGCAGCCGUGCUGGGAAGAACUUACAGGAACACCUUUUCCAGAGGUCCCUCUUUACCAAUGACAGUUUCUAGAUUUUGGAGUCUGCCUUUGGCAAAACACUUUUUCCAUUUUCUCCCCUUGCGGGGUAGGUGAGAGCAAAACAUAGUGGGACUUAAUCCAAAAUAAGUAUGGUUUAAGACUGCAGCCCUGAUUACUUAUCCUACUUACUUCCUCAUUUCAUAUAUAUUUUUUACACCACUUGACUGUAAAAAAAGCGGUUUACAACAAUAUAAAGACAUAAAAUUGUGAAAAAUUCACAACCAUAUUUUAAAACACACUGAAGUUAAAAUACUAAAGCAGAUUAAAAUUACCUCAGCUUUCUAAGCACCAGGGGAGGCUUGUCUAAACAAGAGUGUUUUUAGCAGGUGCCGAAAACUGUACAGUGAAGAUCUCUGCUUGAUCUCAAUAGGCAGGGAGUUCCAAACCGCCACACUAAAUGCCUGAGUUCUUACAAAUGCAGAAAAUGGGUAUUAGGUGGCACCUUCAGUAGUGCCAAUUCAUAUGAUGAAAGAGAGGUUUUCACGGCUGGUUUACUUUGGGCUUGUGAUGCCUGCUCCUCCUCACCCUUAAUGUAUCUUUAAGGCCCCUUCCCUACAAAUAUUCUGUCUGAGGGCCUGGAUCAGACCAGUUAAUGCCUGGGGAGGGGAUUCUCUUCCAACAACGGCACCCCACCUGUUUUAGGCCUGUCAGAGACCAGGAGGUUCAGCCUGAGACAAGAGGUUCUGCCAUACUGUGAACUGAGCAGCAGGUGGUCACAGAGCCAUUAUUAUUAUUAUUAUUAUUAUUAUUAUUAUUAUUAUUAUUAUUAUUAUUAGCCACCCAUCUGACGGGGUUUCCCCAGCCACUCUGGGCGGCUUCCAGCAAAAUAUUAAAAACACAGCCAAACACCUGUCCUUAGAAACUUCCCUAUACAGAGCUGUCUUUAGAUGUCUUCUAAAAGUUGUGCAGUUAUUCAUCACCUUGACAACUGCUGGGAGGGCGUUCCACAGGGCGGGUGCCACUACCAAGAAGGCCCUCUGCCUGGUUCCCUGAAAUUUCGCGUCUUGCGGUGAGGGAACUGCCAGAAGGACCUCGGAGCUGGACCUCAGUGUCCGGGCUGAACGAUGGGAGCAGAGAUGCUCCUCAGGGUAUACACUUGAGGUGUGUUAGCCUCUCCAGAGGCACAAAGAAGCAGCCACUUCAGAUGACAGGCCUAGGGUACCACUAAGGGGGACAGAAUAGGGAACAGGCCAUGUUGGGCCACUGCUUUCGUUGGGUGUUUUAACUUUGGUUUUUUAAAAAAGUCAUGGGAGCGUGUUUGAUUAAAAGAGGGGAACUGGGAAUGGGGCUUGUGGGUUUUGUCAGAGCCCUCCACCUGUUCUCCAUAAUUCUGCACGAGGCAAAAUCCAGCAGGAGUUUCUCCUGUGCAAGGUUCAAAACUGAACACACACAGCGUCUGUUUAUUUUAAGAAGGCUUAUGCAGAAGCACUUUCCACUGGAUUGUGCCCCUGCCAGUGUGAGAGCCAGUGUGGUGUAGUGGUUAAGAGCAGUAGACUCGUAGUCUGGGGAACCGGGUUCGCGUCUCCGCUCCUCCACAUGCAGCUGCUGGGUGACCUUGGGCUAGUCACACUUCUCUGAAGUCUCUCAGCCUCACUCACCUCGCAGAGUGUUUGUUGUGGGGGAGGAAGGGAAAGGAGAAUGUUAGCCGCUUUGAGACUCCUUAGGGUAGUGAUCAGUGGGGAGGGGGGUGCCAUUCAGAUUUUACAUCUCGGUCAUCAAAAUGCCACCAAAGUAUGGAUGCUGGCACUCUGAAAGAUUAACUCAGGAAGUCAAGGCAUUGGCUGGAAAAGGAGAAGAGGAUAACUGUAUUGCGACACGGCCAUCCUUUUCUUACACAUGCAAUGGACCGUCAUUCACAGUGGCACUUGCACCUGACCUGUGUUUGGAGGGUGGUUUGGGUGGGAAGGAAGUAGGGUUGGACGUGGAGGUUGUUAUCCCAUGUUAUUUUUUAAAAAACCAAUGAAAUACAUUUAAAAAUAGAACGCCACGGGCAUCUCUGUCCCUAGCAGAGGCAGCUGUGUCAUGGCUUGGCAAGGAUUGUACUACCUGCUGAUCUGUGAAGCGGAUUGGCUCUCUGCUCGCCAUGGGCCUUUCAAUAUCCCACAGCUUUAGGGGCGGUGCUUUAUGUAUGGAAUCUUCCUUUUACUCCCAUAAGCUUAGCUCGUUUCUUGUUUCUGGCUCUGUUAAAGACUGUCCGUCUCAGGGCCAGGCCAGAUUUACAACAGGGAGUUUUUUAGGGGCACCCGUCCGUAAGGUACAAAUGGUGCCUCUUCAAGCUUGAGGCGCUGUUUCGUGACUCAAGAAUCGCCUCCUAGCACCCUCAGUUUGUGUGCAAAGGAUUCCAGGUUCAGGAUUCCCUGGCAUCUCCAGGUAGGGCUGUGAAAGACUCCUGUCUGAAACUGCAGGAUCGCUGCCUGUGCCAAGCUAGAUGGGCCGAUGUGUUUAAGGCAGGCAUCCCCAAACUUCGGCCCUCCAGAUGUUUUGGGCUACAAUUCCCAUCAUCCCUGACCACUGGUCCUCUUAGCUAGGGAUCAUGGGAGUUGUAGGCCAAAACAGCUGGAGGGCCGCAGUUUGGGGAUGCCUGGUUUAAGGGAACUUCAUAUUUUCUUGAAAUGUCUGGGGCUGCCCCCAAUUAUACAGACCUUCCUGCCCAUUUGCCACAUGGCCUGGCUUUAUCUGCUUGCACCCUCCAUCUUCCAGGGCUCACCAGAGCACUGGCUCCAGCAAAAGGCCGGCCUCUCCCCCCCCCCCCAUCCUCCUUCCACAGCUAAAUUCUUCAGCUACCGUCUUGGACUGCACUUCGCACUCUGCUGCGGGAGUCUGGGCAGCAACAGACUCACCAUAUAUGGUCAGUUUUGGGGUUUCUUCGUAGGCUGGUUCUAUAUAAGGCAUAGUUUGGCAGGAUGUGCAUCUGGCAAGCGGCAGGAUAUCUGCCCCGAGACCCCAGGUGAGGGAGACCACCACCACUGCCAUAAACACACACCCCAACAAACACAUUCCUCAGGCAGAGGGACCUCCUCCUCAGCCAUCAAAAUCAAAAGUUCUUUUGGAACAGUGAGGAUUGUGAUACAAGAACAAACUUUCAUGCAGGAUGGGAGUUACCUGUUAAGGAGAAGGUGGGAGACAGGCUGUCCAGGAUUUGGCAAGCUCCUGCAAACCAUCAACGCCAGUUUCCUACAAAAGAUAGAGUUACUGUUCCUCUGUCCUAGCAGAGGGACAACAGAGAGAGCCACAGUUCUUAAAAUAUUAGGGAGGGAACUCAGUUACCAUUUGCUGGAAAGCCAUGGCUGAGAAAACAAAGCUCUUGACUGUUGGGAAGUAAGCAUUUUCAGCACAGUGCCUCCCUCUAGUGAGACAAUUGGCAUCCUUGUGCACCUUCCAACUGAUACGGGGAGUCUGCAAACAAAAGUUUGAGUUGCACAGAACUCUUCCAGCAGAAUGAAGAGGUGACCAUUGGUGAGCUGCAGGGAGCAAAAGCAAAUAUUUUUAGUUUUCCUCCAACUGAAAUAGAAACUCUUGCACUAUGGGUGGAAGCUAGAUGUGGGGAGAGUAAAUCUAGUUUUGUAAACAAGAUGGGGGGGCACCUGACUUGCCACCAGUACAAGUGAAAGGGAUCUAGGGGUCUUGGUAGACCACAAAGCUUAGUGUGAUGAGUCAACAGUGUGAUGCAGUAGCACAAAAAGCUAUUUCUAUUCUAGGCUGCAACAGACGUAUAGCGUCCAGAGUGAGGGAAAUACAGUAAUGUUGUUGUUGUUUAGUCAUUUAAUCAUGACUGACUCUUCGUGCCCCUUGGACCAUAGCACACCAGGCACUCCUGUCUUCCACUGCCUCCCACAGUUUGGUCAGACUCAUGUUGGUAGCUUCAAGAACACUGUCCAACCAUCUCAUCCUCUGUCGUCCCCUUCUCCUUGUGCCCUCCAUCUUUCCCAACAUCAGGGUCUUUUCCAGGGAGUCUUCUCUUCUCAUGAGGUGGCCAAAGUCUUGGAGCCUCAGCUUCAGGAUCUGUCCUUCCAGUGAGCAUUCAGGGCUGAUUUCCUUAAGAAUGGAUAGGUUUGAUCUUCUUGCAGUCCAUGGGACUCUCAAGAGUCUCCUCCAGCACCAUAAUUCCAAGGCAUCAAUUCUACGGUGAUCAGCCUUCUUUAUGGUCCAGCUCUCACUUCCAUACAUCACUACUGGGAAAACCAUAGCUUUAACUAUACGCACCUUUGUCAGCAAGGUGAUGUCUCUGCUUUUUAAGAUGCUGUCUAAGUUUGUCAUUGCUUUUCUCCCAAGAAGCAGGCGCCUUUUGAUUUCGUGACUGCUGUCACCAUCUGCAGUGAUCAUGGAACCCAAGAAAGUAAAAUCUCUCACUGCCUCCAUUUCUUCCCCUUCUAUUUGCCAGGAGGUGAUGGGACCAGUGGCCAUGAUCUUGGUUUUUUUGAUGUUGAGCUUCAGACCAUAUUUUGUGCUCUCUUCAUAGCUGCCAAGUUAUCCCUUUUUUAAAGGGAUUUUCCCUUAUGCUGAAUAGGCUUCCUCGCGAGAAAAGGGAAAACUUGGCAGCUAUGGCUCUCUUCUUUCACCCUCAUUAAAAGGUUCUUUAAUUCCUCCUCACUUUCUGCCAUCAAAGUUGUGUCAUCAGUAUAUCUGAGGUUGUUGAUAUUUCUUCCGGCAAUCUUAAUUCCGGUUUGAGAUUCAUCCAGUCCAGCCUUUCGCAUGAUGAAUUCUGCAUAUAAGUUAAAUAAGCAGGGAGACAAUAUACAUCCUUUCCCAAUUUUGAACCAAUCAGUUAUUCCAUAUCCAGUUCUAACUGUAGCUUCUUGUUCCACAUAGAGAUUUCUCAGGAGACAGAUGAGGUGAUUAGGCACUCCCAUUUCUUUAAGAGCUUGCCAUAGUUUGCUGUGGUCGACACAGUCAAAUGCUUUUUCGUAGUCAAUGAAGCAGAAGUAGAUGUUCUUCUGGAACUCUCUAGCUUUCUCCAUAAUCCAGCGCAUGUUUGCAAUUUGGUCUCUGGUUCCUCUGCCCCUUCGAAAUCCAGCUUGCACUUCUGGGAGUUCUCUAUCCACAUACUGCUUAAGCCUGCCUUGUAGAAUUUUAAGCAUAACCUUGCUAGCGUGUGAAAUGAGCGCAAUUGUGCGGUAGUUGGAGCAUUCUUUGGCACUGCCCUUCUUUGGGAUUGGGAUGUAGACUGAUCUUCUCCAAUCCUCUGGCCACUGCUGAGUUUUCCAAACUUGCUGGCAUAUUGAGUGUAGCACUUUAACAGCAUCAUCUUUUAAAAAUUUAAAUACCAGUAGUUCAGCUGGAAUAUCAUCACUUCCAUUGGCCUUGUUAUUAGCAGUGUUUUCUAAGGCCCAUUUGUCACGGUCUGGUCGGCGGGCGUCAGGACCAGAGGCAAGAUGGUGGUGAAGAAGCAGGGUCGAAGGCAGAGGCGAAGGUCCACGGGGCACGCAGCAAGGCGAAGGCAAAGCGAGGGUCCAGGAACAAGAAGCAAGGCGAAGGUCCACGGGGCAAGAGCAAGGCGAAGGCGAAGCAAGGGUCCAAGGAGCAAGGCGAAGGAUCCAGGAACAAGAAGCAAGGCGAAGGUCCACGGGGCAGGAGCAAGGCGAAGGCGAGGCAGGGGUCCAAGAAGCACGGCAGCAACAAGGCAAGGGUCCAAGGAACAGGAGGCCAGAUGCAACCAGGCAGGGAUAGCGUUGCUGUGGCAAAGAGCUGAAGGGAAAUGCUGGGCUUUUAUCCCUCCCAGCUCCUGCCACCAGGUGCAGUGAGAUCUCAAGUGGCCUCACCUGGGUGAUUACUCCUUGCCUCUCCAGCACAAGCUGAGGACUUCACCUGUGUGGCCACGCCUUGCUUCUCCAGCACAAGUUGAGGCAUGCCCCAGUCCUGCAAAGCACUACAGGCCCCAGAGCCUGACUCCUGCCCAUACUCCUGACACCAUUUGACUUCACUCUCCGGGAUGUCUGGCUCCAGGUCAGCAACCACACUACCUGGGGUGUACGAGACCUCCAUAUCUUUCUGGUAUAAUUCCUUUGUGUAUUCUUGCCACCUCUUCUUGGUGUCUUCUGCUUCUGUUAGGUCCUUUCCACUUUUGUCCUUUAUUAUGGUAAUCUUUAUACGAAAUGUUCCUUUCAUAUCUCCAAUUUUCUUGAACAGAUCUCUAGUUUUUCCCAUUCUGUUGUUUCCCUCUAUUUCUUUGCAUUGCUCGUUUAAGAAGGCCCUCUUGUCUCUCCUUGCUAUUUUUUGGAAUUCUGCAUUUAAUUUCCUGUAUCUUUCACUAUCUCCCUCACAUUUUGCCUGCCUUCUCUCCCCCGCUGUUUGUAAGGCCUCGUUGGACAGUCACUUUGCUUUCUUGCAUGAGGGAAAUAAUAGUACCUCUCUAUUCUGCCUUUGUCAGACCACAUCUGGAGUACUGAGUCCAGUUCUGGCGCCACAGAUUAAGAAGGAUAUCGACAAGCUGGAAUGUGUGCAGAGGAGGGCGACCAAGAUGAUCAAGGGUCUGGAAGCCAAGCCUUAUGAGGAAUGGUUGAGGGAGUUGGGUAUGUUUAGCUUAGAAAAGACAGUGAGAGGAGAGGCUAGGACCUGAACAAAGUGAGUAGGUCCCUGUAUAAUAUCAGACAGGGGAUCCGGGUGAUUCUUAUUUUGAGGGUCCAAUUGGUGAUUGUAGUGCGCAAAGAACACCUGUGUUGGAAUGUGAAUAUACGAUUGCUGGGGAGUACAGAGCAGUUCUGGCGCUCAGGUAGAAAGCAAGAGACCUCUAUCUGCCAGGGAGGUAAGAGUUGUACCCACAUUCCUCCCUUAAGACAACUGGGAGAAUGUUUCAUUUUGCACAGAGAGACGUCAUAGGAAGCUACUCUGCAAACCGGAGGGCCAGAACAAGGUGAUGUCUUCACAACCAGUGUGAAGAACCCAGUAUCAUUGGAAUAAACAUUAGAUUAGUGACAUGCUAAGAAAGUUAGAAUAGGGGUUCAACCCUGGCCAAACUGGCAUCCACAAUGGGCCAUAUAUACGGAGGAACUUCCAGUUCCUGAAAGAAGCCCCAAGCAUAGCUUGGAAUUUGUUAGGGGGGCAGGGAGCUGCUGGCAUACACUGCAUGGAGUAGUGUUAAUUCAGAAAACAACCACAGAUUGGAAUCCCUGUUUUCUGUCCCACCAGACCCAAUUCAUUAGAAGCACAAAGCUCACCUCCUUUGCCCAUAUUGCAAGCUCAUACUGCCUGCUCAUACCCAAGUCCUCAUAACACAGUACACCCAUUUGACUGGACGUGGUGUGUCCCUGGGAAACACAAGGCGAGAGCUACCAUGGCACUCUGUCUGGGAAGCAUGGAGAAACUUUCUCCAAGGCAAAAUUCGCAUUGCUCUGGGCAUGACAGACUACAGCUAUUUGCUUGUUUCUGUGAAGCUGUGCACAGAGAUUGUCCCAUCCUGCUUCGCCUUCUUGUGUUGGAAGCAGAGAUUAACACACAGAGUAAUCCGUGACAGGGUAUUCUUGUAAAGACAGUGCCCCAUGAACAUCACAUGCUAGCUUCAGAUUUCUAAGCACAAAAGGAAAGAGCCAGUCUUAACUUCUUCAAAUGCAGCUCCACAAGCAGGCUACAGACUAGUCCAUUACUUUCCAUAUUCUUUUAAAUGUGUGUGUGUGUGUUUGACAGAAAGCAAAUAUGGUUUUCGUGGGGGGGGAGGGUACUGGAUUUGACCCAGAGUGCCUCAGGACCCAAUCCUUGCUCAGCUAUGAAGUUUAAUACCGAGUGACGUUGAACCAGUUUCUCUCAGCCUAACCCACCUCACAGGGUUGUUGGAAAGAUAAAAUAGGGAAUAGGAAUAAAAUAGGGAAACGGCAUGCAGAAAUUUCCUCGGAGGAAGGAAUAAGAUACAGAUACGACAAAUGCCUUCAAAUGCAACUUUUUAAAAAGAGUAUUUUUUUGCUAAAGUUUUAGUCAUAAGAAAACGGGAAUUAGAAUAGCACGUAUGCAACCUGACAACGCAGGUUGAAUCCUGACAAGAAAGGAGUACUGUUUGUGGGGGACAGGAGGCGGGCAGGUGUGGAGGACUCCCUGGUCCAAACCUAAACGGGGUAAUUGUGCCCCUGAAGGACCAGGUGCGCAGCCUGGGAGUCAUUUUGGACUCACAGCUGUCCAUGGAGGCGCAGGUCAAUUCUGUGUCCAGGGCAGCUGUCUAUCAGGUCCACCUGGUACGCAGGCUGAGACCUGCAGACUGUCUUGCCAGAGUGGUGCAUGCUCUGGUUAUCUCCCGCUUGGACUACUGCAAUGCGCUCUACGUGGGGCUACCUUUGAAGGUGACCCGGAAACUACAACUAACCCAGAAUGCGGCAGCUAGACUGGUGACUGGGAGCGGCCGCCGAGACCACAUAACACCGGUCUUGAAAGACCUACAUUGGCUCCCAGUACGUUUCCGAGCACAAUUCAAAGUGUUGGUGUUGAGCUUUUAAAGCCCUAAACGGCCUCGGUCCAGUAUACCUGAAGGAGCGUCUCCACCCCCAUCGUUCUGCCCAGACACCGAGGUCCAGUACUGAGGGCCUUCUGGCAGUUCCCUUGUUGCGAGAAGCCAAGUUGCAGGGAACCAGGCAGAGGGCCUUCUCGGUGGUGGCGCCCACCCUGUGGAACGCCCUCCCAUCAGAUGUCAAAGAGAAGAACAGCUACCAGAUUUUUAGAAGACAUCUGAAGGCAGCCCUGUUUAGGGAGGCUUUUAAUGUUUAAUAGAUCACUGUGUUUUAUUUUUCUGUUGGAAGUCGCCCAGAGUGGCUGGGGAAACCCAGCCAGAUGGGCGGGGUAUGAAUAAUAACUUAUUAUUAUUAUUAUUAUUAUUAUUAUUAUUAUUAUUAUUAUUAUCUUGCAAAGAGAUUCUUAACUGCCAUAUAGAAUUAAACAUGCAAAUUACUGUUCUGUGUUAUGCUAUAUAUACUGUUCUGGGUGAUAUGUACUGCAGCUCAUAUUUAGGCAACCUUUCCAGUAAGCUUUCUGUGGUCCCAAAUAAAAAAAUUCUCAGUCUUCCCUCUGAAAUCCAUAACAGUGGAUAAUAAGCAACAACACAUCCAUGAGAGAAUGUGGGGGGAAAGGGAUGAAAAGACAAGUGUGAAAAAGGACAAUUUAGGAGACGACACAAAAGGCUCUGAACUCUUGCAUCUUAUGCUUAGCUCUCCCUGUAGUGGUAAAAAUCCAGCAGCUGCUAUAAUGAAGGCUGGUCAAGGCAAAUUCUGAUUGAAUUAAUGCAAGUAUUUCCCUUCACUCGUGUGCAUUCCUGCCUCUGUUGUGUUGUCAGUACCAGGUCUGAUGGUUCCAUCCAAGUUAUGUAGUCCAAGCACUUGCUUCAAAGUUUCCUGGACAGGAGUGGGCCUGGCUAGUGGAUAUAGUACAGAGCCUAGCAAUCAAAAUAUUUCCAGAGAGCUCCUGUUAGAAGCCUAGCCCAUUCUCAUCAGAACCAAUAAGCAUUCCGCAAACCAGCUCAAAUUAUUCGGACCGCAAAGAAACAGAAACUGAGAAAAGAACCUUCUAAGCUUCUAUUACAGGCAUCCCCAAACUACGGCCCUCCAGAUGUUUUGGCCUACAACUCCCAUGAUCCCUAGCUAACAGGACUAGUGGUCAGGGAAGAUGGGAAUUGUAGUCCAAAACAUCUGGAGGGCCGAAGUUUGGGGAUGCCUGUUCUAUUACAUGUGCAGCUCAAGUAAGCGACCCUAAUCAUUCAAGCCUGGCUGCUCACUGUAAUUUUCCCCCGUUUCUUUUCUUAGCUCUGGGGCGUAGGCUGGGUGUAGCCAGGAUUUUUGUUGGGGGGGGGGCAGCAGGCCUUUUUGGGGGUUGGGGGCAGAAUCUCAGUUAGCUAUGUAUUUUUUUUUAUGGGGGGCAGCUGCCCCUCCCUGGCCAACCUUGGCUAUGCCCCUAUGGGUGUAGGGGUGAAACUAGGCUUCAUUUCAGCUUGCACUGAAAUAAAGACCCAGUUUGCCCCUCUGCAUGCACAUUUGCUCACAGGCUGUGAGCCUCAAUGACGCCCCUCUGGAGGCUUCACCCAGGGCAAAAACCUCAGCUUCCCCUUCCUGUAGCGAUGGCGCUGCUGUGAUGCUCCUAAGUGCAGUGAAUUAUUGGUGUUUUGAUUGUCUGAGUUUUGUGCAUCAGUCCAAAGUUCCUGUGACAGAGAAAUCCGAGAACAUCUCUAAACAAAGGACAUACUGUCCCACUAGCUUUCGGUUGGUGCCCAAACUGAUUGGCAGCAGUUCCAGACUAUUAUAAUUUUCACUAUUUUGGGGUGGGAUCCAAUCACCUCCUGGAAAAUUCAGGUUGGCGCUUUUAGCCGACAAACAUGCCUCUCUAAAAGAUUGGACUGUUUGCAAUAAGGAAAGUGACAGGAAAGUGUGGGUAACACUUGCUUUGAUGUGACAUGGUCUAGCCUCUUUGCUAUCAUAUCAGCCUGAGCGCUCACCAAAUGGCCAAUGUUGCCUAACCUCCCUCCAAACAUGUCUGAGUGAAUGCUCAGUAAACAGGUCAGGUGAAAGCACCCCCAGCCUCUUGAAGGUUGCUAAUACCUUCAAGGACACGGGUGGCGCUGUGGUCUAAACCACUGAGCCUCUUGGGCUUGCCGAUCAGAAGGUUGGCGGUUCGAAUCCCCGCAACAGGGUAAGCUCCUGUUGCUCUGUCCCAGCUCCUGCCAACCUAGCAGUUCGAAAGCAUGCCAAUGCAAGUAGAUAAAUAGGUACCACUGUGGCGGGAAGGUAAACAGUGUUUCAAUGUGCUCUGGCACUUGUCACGGUCCUCCGUGCACCAGAAGUGGUUUAGUCAUGCUGGCCACAUGACCCGGAAAGCUGUCUUGACAAACGCCAGCUCCCUCGGCCUGAAAGCGAGAUGAGCGCCACAACCCCAUAGUCACCUUUGACCGGACUUAACCAUCCAAGGGUCCUUUGCCUUUUACCUUUGUACCUUCAAAUACCAGACGAGAUUUUUGUUUCAUUACUAAUAUUUUAUGCUUCUUCACCUUUGAUCUCUUGCAACUGCAGCACAUCAUAAAACCAUAGAUUUCAAGGGACUAAAGAGGCCAAAUAAUGCAGAGGGAGAACUUGGAUGAAGUACACUAACACACACCACCGAUCAAUCUAUGUGCAGGGAUAGACCAAACAGUCUCUGGCGUGGAAAGUUUUUGACACCCCAGGCAUUUGUUCAACUUUGGAACAAGUUAACUUUGUUCACACGUAAUGCUGGCCAUAAACAAUGGUUAGAUAAAUUGGCUGUCAUGGAGUGGCUGGAUGCAGAGGAGCGGUGGGAGACACCAGCUAGGGCCAUACCCUCAGGGGAGCCCCCAAUGGUAGAAGGCUCAGUGCCAGGGGAGUAGCAGUGGGACGACAAGGAGUGGUCAGAGGGAGAAGAGGGAGCAGACUGGGAGGAGGAGGUGUCAGAAGCUUAAGAAGUAACAGCGUAUGGUGAGCAGGAAGAGUCUGUGGCAGAGAGCAGUCCAGAAUCGGAGGCAGAUGCAGAGGCUGGAGAGGACAAGGGCCAAGAGGCAGAGAUGAGGCAAGUAGCUGAAGAAGCCAGGGAGUGUCCCCCCCCACCCCCGCUGCGAUAAGCUCGCCUCCCCACUGGUCUCCCAGAGGUCAUUCUCAAAGACAGACAAGGUGGAUAAAUCUCAGGUUGCUUGGGAAGGUCCCGGAAAAGGACGAGACUUAGGGAGCGGUGGGAAGACAGGGACCUUUGGUCCUUGCAACUGCUUCAUUGGGGCAAGACCUACUAGGAAGGGGUGUUUCUUUGAAUAAAGGGUUAACUUCAAUAUCUGUAUGUUUUAUGAUGGGCACUGCCCCACCAACUUCAGCCUGCCCUCUGCCAGCUCCCCUCUGCCUCCUUUCUCACUUGGAACUGGUCCAAGGGAUGACAACUACCUGUCGGCUUCUCCCCCUUAGUCUCAAGUGUUUUCCGGGUUUCAAGAGAGGAGGAUGGGGGCAAGACUAGAAUUAGUUGGCUCUGCCUACUAUUGAGCACCAGGCCCAGUGGAGCACCAGCCACCACUAGCUGUUCUAAUGUGGGCUGCGCAUUCACUAAUAUCAUGAUCAUAGGAUAGGGUUGACAUAUUUCAAAAUGCGAAAAGUUGUUGAGCAAAAUUUGGCAAAAAUGACACUGCUGACAUGGGUUGCCGUAGGUCCGGAUUUCCCCUGGACCUUUUUCCGAUUUCCACCCGGACACUGCUUCCAACUGCAGUAUUCCAGGUAUGUCCAGGAAAUUCUGUACAUGUGGCAACCCUGUGGUAGGAGACAACACCUAGGUGAAUGGGCAUUGUCAUUCAAAUGGUGUGUGUGCACUGUGUUGUGUGAUCAGUUAUGUGGGGCAGGGCUUACCUGCCCCCCCAUAUUUUAUUCAAGUUGGCACCCCUGCUCCUGGUGUUCACUUAUUUUUAUGGUAUCAAUAUCACAAUGAUUUGUGCACACAUCAGUCUGUUGAAUGGACAUGGAAGCUCCAAGUUCCCCCACAAAUUGUAAUACAGUGGUGCCUCAACUUACGAAUUUAAUCCGUUCUGAAGGCACCUUCGUAAGUCGAAAAAUUCGUAAGUUGAAAAACGCCAUUGGAAACGUGAUUUCCCGUAGGAAUGCAUUGGAAGCGGAAAAAUUCGUAAGUCGAAGCAACCCCAUCUAAAAAUUUGUAAGUCGAAAAAUCCCUAUCUAAAACCGCCGCGGUUUCCCCCCGGAUGUCGAGACAUUCGUAAGCGCGCGGCCAUUUGCCCCAUUCGUAAGUCAAAAAAUUCGGUUGUCGAGUCAUUCGUAAGUCGAGGUACCACUGUAUAAGAAAACCAAAUGUCCACACAAUGUCAGCCAUGAAGUUCAAUACGGACAACAUUAUAAAUGACAAUACUUUGUUGGUACUCCUUGUUCCAGCUAUUAAGUAGCUAGUUGAGUGCACCCCGGCAGCCAUCUUGGUUACCUGCCAUGACAUCAAAACGCUACCUAUGUGAUAUAGCCUGAAGAACAUUACAGUCUCAGCUACGCCUGCAGAACAAAGAACUCCAGCUGACUCACACAACUGAGUCAGUUAAGCCACUUUUCACAGGCGGGCGGAAAAAUCAGAAUGCUUGGCAAUGCUUUUUAACCUUUUUUCUUAUUCGUUUUGCAAACCGCGAGCUGUAGGGUUUUAAGCUGCGUACAAAAAUGGUCAGACAUGAUGCUUUAGACUGAGUUCCAAACCGAAUAUGAAAACAGGGUCCAGAAGAGCUCAGUGAAGCUGCUUAUCAGUAUUGGGAAAGGUCCCCCCCCCC
Zootoca vivipara (common lizard) is the source of this 14632-nucleotide non-coding RNA. NCBI's taxonomy places the organism in Eukaryota, Metazoa, Chordata, Lepidosauria, Squamata, Lacertidae. The record is from RefSeq and is a predicted model, not a curated record.